UGGGGAAUCUUGCACAAUGGGGGCAACCCUGAUGCAGCGACGCCGCGUGAGCGAUGAAGCCCUUCGGGGCGUAAAGCUCUUUCGACCGGAACGAUAAUGACGGUACCGGGAGAAGAAGCUGCGGCUAACUACGUGCCAGCAGCCGCGGUAAUACGUAGGCAGCAAGCGUUGUUCGGAGUUACUGGGCGUAAAGAGUGCGUAGGCGGUUUUCUAAGUUCGGUGUGAAAUCUCCCGGCUUAACUGGGAGGGUGCGCCGAAGACUGGGAAGCGGGAGUGUGGGGAAGGCAGGCGGAAUUCCUGGUGUAGCGGUGAAAUGCGUAGAUAUCAGGAGGAACACCGGCGGUGUAGACGGCUUGCUAGACCAUAACUGACGCUGAGGCGCGAAAGCGUGGGUAGCAAACA
RNAcentral lists this ribosomal RNA (402 nucleotides) under uncultured bacterium. RNAcentral's name for it is "bacterial SSU rRNA". It matches the Rfam family "Bacterial small subunit ribosomal RNA", at positions 355 to 774 of the family's 1533-position model. The record is from RNAcentral.